RNAcentral lists this ribosomal RNA (664 nucleotides) under Staphylococcus aureus. RNAcentral's name for it is "bacterial SSU rRNA". It matches the Rfam family "Bacterial small subunit ribosomal RNA", at positions 1 to 647 of the family's 1533-position model. The record is from RNAcentral. Lineage: Bacteria; Bacillati; Bacillota; Bacilli; Caryophanales; Staphylococcaceae.
UUUAUGGAGAGUUUGAUCCUGGCUCAGGAUGAACGCUGGCGGCGUGCCUAAUACAUGCAAGUCGAGCGAACGGACGAGAAGCUUGCUUCUCUGAUGUUAGCGGCGGACGGGUGAGUAACACGUGGAUAACCUACCUAUAAGACUGGGAUAACUUCGGGAAACCGGAGCUAAUACCGGAUAAUAUUUUGAACCGCAUGGUUCAAAAGUGAAAGACGGUCUUGCUGUCACUUAUAGAUGGAUCCGCGCUGCAUUAGCUAGUUGGUAAGGUAACGGCUUACCAAGGCAACGAUGCAUAGCCGACCUGAGAGGGUGAUCGGCCACACUGGAACUGAGACACGGUCCAGACUCCUACGGGAGGCAGCAGUAGGGAAUCUUCCGCAAUGGGCGAAAGCCUGACGGAGCAACGCCGCGUGAGUGAUGAAGGUCUUCGGAUCGUAAAACUCUGUUAUUAGGGAAGAACAUAUGUGUAAGUAACUGUGCACAUCUUGACGGUACCUAAUCAGAAAGCCACGGCUAACUACGUGCCAGCAGCCGCGGUAAUACGUAGGUGGCAAGCGUUAUCCGGAAUUAUUGGGCGUAAAGCGCGCGUAGGCGGUUUUUUAAGUCUGAUGUGAAAGCCCACGGCUCAACCGUGGAGGGUCAUUGGAAACUGGAAAACUUGAGU